UACGUAGGGUGCGAGCGUUGUCCGGAAUUAUUGGGCGUAAAGAGCUUGUAGGCGGUCUGUCGCGUCUGCUGUGAAAGACCGGGGCUUAACUCCGGUUCUGCAGUGGGUACGGGCAGACUAGAGUGUGGUAGGGGAGACUGGAAUUCCUGGUGUAGCGGUGAAAUGCGCAGAUAUCAGGAGGAACACCGAUGGCGAAGGCAGGUCUCUGGGCCAUUACUGACGCUGAGAAGCGAAAGCAUGGGGAGCGAACAGG
Molecule: ribosomal RNA, 253 nt
Filed under: uncultured bacterium
Lineage: Bacteria
Description: partial 16S ribosomal RNA
Rfam family: Bacterial small subunit ribosomal RNA
Source: RNAcentral